AGGAUCGUGAUUCAUCCUCUUCUUUUCUUCACUUUCUUCUUUGCACAAACCUGUGGCUACAAUUUCACUAUUUUACCGCCACCCUUAUUAUCGGAAAAAAGUCCGAUCAAGAAGUUUUCAUUUACUUGACACCGCCCCUACACAUCUGCUUGAGGUUCAAGGGGUGUGGCGGCGGUCGGGAUUUUAACGUGUAUGUUACACGAAUUUUCAUUUUUAAAACCCUCCCACCCUCCACCCCACACACACCAGCCAUAGGCAACUUUCUAAAUCCUAUUAUCACUUUCAGAUUGACGUGUUUUGCGGAUACGAUCCAUAAUGGAACAAGUUGGAAUACUCCAGGACCAGCUUCAAGUGUCACACCAUUACCAGAAUUACCAACUGUAUCAGUACAACCAAGAGCUAUUCUGGAUCGGAAAUUGUUAAAGAAAGGUUCACGAGCAGGAGUACAGGGGUUAAUUCAUUGGCAGGGUUUACCGGUGACUGAGGUGACGUGGGAAGAUCUUGAGGAAUUGAAAAAGCGUUUCCCUAAUUUUGAAUUUUGAGGUCAAAAUUCGUGUUAAUUGGGGGGAGUAUUGUUACAGUAUGAUAGUAUGGGGGGAGGGGUAAAAUGUAAUAGUUGUCUGGAAAUAAUAAGGAAGGGUUGAGAGGUCAAUAGUUAUAAGUCAAGGGGGUUAAUUGUAAUUUAGGUUGUUAGUCGUUGUGAGUCGUUGAAGCUGUAUAAGUAACAGUAUUAACGAACUGAAUGAGAUAGCUUGAUUGAUCGUGACUUCUUCUA
Long non-coding RNA from Helianthus annuus (common sunflower), 775 nucleotides. RefSeq lists it as uncharacterized. The transcript has 2 exons. NCBI's taxonomy places the organism in Eukaryota, Viridiplantae, Streptophyta, Magnoliopsida, Asterales, Asteraceae. The record is from RefSeq and is a predicted model, not a curated record.